UACGAAGGGGGCUAGCGUUGUUCGGAUUUACUGGGCGUAAAGGGCGCGUAGGCGGGCCGAUAAGUCAGGGGUGAAAUCCCAAGGCUCAACCUUGGAACUGCCUUUGAUACUGUCGGCCUUGAGUCCGGGAGAGGUGAGUGGAACUGCGAGUGUAGAGGUGAAAUUCGUAGAUAUUCGCAAGAACACCAGUGGCGAAGGCGGCUCACUGGCCCGGAACUGACGCUGAGGCGCGAAAGCGUGGGGAGCAAACAGG
This 253-nucleotide unclassified non-coding RNA is filed under the name uncultured Alphaproteobacteria bacterium. Its description in RNAcentral is "contains 16S-23S intergenic spacer region". It matches the Rfam family "Bacterial small subunit ribosomal RNA", at positions 524 to 776 of the family's 1533-position model. The record is from RNAcentral. Lineage: Bacteria; Pseudomonadati; Pseudomonadota; Alphaproteobacteria.